Molecule: ribosomal RNA, 1477 nt
Filed under: metagenome
Description: bacterial SSU rRNA
Rfam family: Bacterial small subunit ribosomal RNA
Source: RNAcentral
AGAGUUUGAUCAUGGCUCAGAUUGAACGCUGGCGGCAGGCCUAACACAUGCAAGUCGAACGGUAACAGGAAGAAGCUUGCUUCUUUGCUGACGAGUGGCGGACGGGUGAGUAAUGUCUGGGAAACUGCCUGAUGGAGGGGGAUAACUACUGGAAACGGUAGCUAAUACCGCAUAACGUCGCAAGACCAAAGAGGGGGACCUUCGGGCCUCUUGCCAUCGGAUGUGCCCAGAUGGGAUUAGCUAGUAGGUGGGGUAACGGCUCACCUAGGCGACGAUCCCUAGCUGGUCUGAGAGGAUGACCAGCCACACUGGAACUGAGACACGGUCCAGACUCCUACGGGAGGCAGCAGUGGGGAAUAUUGCACAAUGGGCGCAAGCCUGAUGCAGCCAUGCCGCGUGUAUGAAGAAGGCCUUCGGGUUGUAAAGUACUUUCAGCGGGGAGGAAGGGAGUAAAGUUAAUACCUUUGCUCAUUGACGUUACCCGCAGAAGAAGCACCGGCUAACUCCGUGCCAGCAGCCGCGGUAAUACGGAGGGUGCAAGCGUUAAUCGGAAUUACUGGGCGUAAAGCGCACGCAGGCGGUUUGUUAAGUCAGAUGUGAAAUCCCCGGGCUCAACCUGGGAACUGCAUCUGAUACUGGCAAGCUUGAGUCUCGUAGAGGGGGGUAGAAUUCCAGGUAUAGCGGUGAAAUGCGUAGAGAUCUGGAGGAAUACCGGUGGCGAAGGCGGCCCCCUGGACGAAGACUGACGCUCAGGUGCGAAAGCGUGGAGAGCAAACAGGAUUAGAUACCCUGGUAGUCCACGCCGUAAACGAUGUCGACUUGGAGGUUGUGCCCUUGAGGCGUGGCUUCCGGAGCUAACGCGUUAAGUCGACCGCCUGGGGAGUACGGCCGCAAGGUUAAAACUCAAAUGAAUUGACGGGGGCCCGCACAAGCGGUGGAGCAUGUGGUUUAAUUCGAUGCAACGCGAAGAACCUUACCUGGUCUUGACAUCCACGGAAGUUUUCAGAGAUGAGAAUGUGCCUUCGGGAACCGUGAGACAGGUGCUGCAUGGCUGUCGUCAGCUCGUGUUGUGAAAUGUUGGGUUAAGUCCCGCAACGAGCGCAACCCUUAUCCUUUGUUGCCAGCGGUCCGGCCGGGAACUCAAAGGAGACUGCCAGUGAUAAACUGGAGGAAGGUGGGGAUGACGUCAAGUCAUCAUGGCCCUUACGACCAGGGCUACACACGUGCUACAAUGGCGCAUACAAAGAGAAGCGACCUCGCGAGAGCAAGCGGACCUCAUAAAGUGCGUCGUAGUCCGGAUUGGAGUCUGCAACUCGACUCCAUGAAGUCGGAAUCGCUAGUAAUCGUGGAUCAGAAUGCCUCGGUGAAUACGUUCCCGGGCCUUGUACACACCGCCCGUCACACCAUGGGAGUGGGUUGCAAAAGAAGUAGGUAGCUUAACCUUCGGGAGGGCGCUUACCACUUUGUGAUUCAUGAC